GAUGAAGAACGCAGCGAAAUGCGAUAAGUAGUGUGAAUUGCAGAAUUCAGUGAAUCAUCGAAUCUUUGAACGCACAUUGCGCCCCUUGGUAUUCCAUGGGGCAUGCCUGUUCGAGCGUCAUUUCAACCCUCGACCUCCCCUUGGGGAGGUCGGCGUUGGGGACCGGCAGCACACCGCCGGCCCUGAAAUGGAGUGGCGGCCCGUCUGCGGCGACCUCUGCGUAGUAAUACAGCUCGCACCGGAACCCCGACGCGGCCACGCCGUAAAACACCCAACUUCUGAACGUUGACCUCGAAUCAGGUAGGACUACCCGCUGAACUUAAGCAUAUCAAUAAGCGGAGGA
This 343-nucleotide unclassified non-coding RNA is filed under the name soil metagenome. RNAcentral's name for it is "partial contains 5.8S ribosomal RNA, internal transcribed spacer 2, and large subunit ribosomal RNA". The stretch from base 1 to 120 matches the Rfam family "5.8S ribosomal RNA", at positions 35 to 154 of the family's 154-position model. The record is from RNAcentral.